GGGUGAGUAACGCGUGGAUAAUCUGCCCUACACAGGGGGAUAACAUCCGGAAACGGCUGCUAAUACCGCAUAGACUGAGCUCUCGCAUGAGAGAACAGGGAAAGAUUUAUCGGUGUAGGAUGAAUCCGCGUCCGAUUAGCUAGUUGGAGGGGUAACGGCCCACCAAGGCGACGAUCGGUAGCCGACCUGAGAGGGCGACCGGCCACAUUGGGACUGAGACACGGCCCAGACUCCUGCGGGAGGCAGCAGUGGGGAAUAUUGCACAAUGGGGGGAACCCUGAUGCAGCGACGCCGCGUGAGUGAAGAAGUAUUUCGGUAUGUAAAGCUCUAUCAGCAGGGACGAAGAUGACGGUACCUGCAGAAGAAGCCCCGGCUAACUACGUGCCAGCAGCCGCGGUAAUACGUAGGGGGCAAGCGUUAUCCGGAUUUACUGGGUGUAAAGGGAGCGUAGACGGCAGGGCAAGCCAGAAGUGAAAACGCAGAGCUUAACUUUGCGACUGCUUUUGGAACUGCCCAGCUAGAGUACAGGAGAGGUAAGUGGAAUUCCUAGUGUAGCGGUGAAAUGCGUAGAUAUUAGGAGGAACACCAGUGGCGAAGGCGGCUUACUGGACUGAGACUGACGUUGAGGCUCGAAAGCGUGGGGAGCAAACAGGAUUAGAUACCCUGGUAGUCCACGCUGUAA
This 682-nucleotide ribosomal RNA is filed under the name uncultured bacterium. Its description in RNAcentral is "bacterial SSU rRNA". It matches the Rfam family "Bacterial small subunit ribosomal RNA", at positions 104 to 805 of the family's 1533-position model. The record is from RNAcentral.